RNAcentral lists this ribosomal RNA (551 nucleotides) under uncultured Gammaproteobacteria bacterium. RNAcentral's name for it is "bacterial SSU rRNA". It matches the Rfam family "Bacterial small subunit ribosomal RNA", at positions 355 to 897 of the family's 1533-position model. The record is from RNAcentral. Lineage: Bacteria; Pseudomonadati; Pseudomonadota; Gammaproteobacteria.
UGGGGAAUAUUGGACAAUGGGGGCAACCCUGAUCCAGCAAUGCCGCGUGUGUGAAGAAGGCCUGCGGGUUGUAAAGCACUUUCAGUGGGGAGGAAGGCCUCGGUGUUAAUAUCACCGAGGAUUGACGUUACCCACAGAAGAAGCACCGGCUAACUCUGUGCCAGCAGCCGCGGUAAUACAGAGGGUGCAAGCGUUAAUCGGAAUUACUGGGCGUAAAGGGCGCGUAGGUGGUUCAUUAAGUUAGGUGUGAAAUCCCUGGGCUUAACCUAGGAAUUGCAUUUAAUACUGAUGAGCUAGAGUGUGGGAGAGGGAAGUGGAAUUUCCAGUGUAGCGGUGAAAUGCGUAGAUAUUGGAAGGAACACCAGUGGCGAAGGCGACUUCCUGGACCACUACUGACACUGAGGCGCGAAAGCGUGGGGAGCGAACAGGAUUAGAUACCCUGGUAGUCCACGCCGUAAACGAUGAGAACUAGAUGUUAGGGGGCUUAGACCUCUUAGUAUCGCAGCAAACGCGUUAAGUUCUCCGCCUGGGGAGUACGGCCGCAAGGUUAA